GAUGAACGCUGGCGGCGUGCCUAAUACAUGCAAGUCGAGCGAACAGAUGAGGAGCUUGCUCCUCUGACGUUAGCGGCGGACGGGUGAGUAACACGUGGAUAACCUACCUAUAAGACUGGGACAACUUCGGGAAACCGGAGCUAAUACCGGAUCAUAUAUUGAACCGCAUGGUUCAAUAGUGAAAGACGGUUUUGCUGUCACUUAUAGAUGGAUCCGCGCCGCAUUAGCUAGUUGGUAAAGUAACGGCUUACCAAGGCAACGAUGCGUAGCCGACCUGAGAGGGUGAUCGGCCACACUGGAACUGAGACACGGUCCAGACUCCUACGGGAGGCAGCAGUAGGGAAUCUUCCGCAAUGGGCGAAAGCCUGACGGAGCAACGCCGCGUGAGUGAUGAAGGUCUUCGGAUCGUAAAACUCUGUUAUUAGGGAAGAACAAAUGUGUAAGUAACUAUGCACGUCUUGACGGUACCUAAUCAGAAAGCCACGGCUAACUACGUG
Molecule: ribosomal RNA, 497 nt
Filed under: uncultured bacterium
Lineage: Bacteria
Description: partial 16S ribosomal RNA
Rfam family: Bacterial small subunit ribosomal RNA
Source: RNAcentral